GCCGGGGUAGCUCAGAUGGUUAGAGCGCCUGUCUGUGGAACAGGAGGUCGACAGUUCGAUUCUGUCCCCCGGUA
RNAcentral lists this transfer RNA (74 nucleotides) under Candidatus Zixiibacteriota bacterium. RNAcentral describes it as "tRNA-His". It matches the Rfam family "tRNA". Rfam says of the family: Transfer RNA (tRNA) molecules are approximately 80 nucleotides in length. Their secondary structure includes four short double-helical elements and three loops (D, anti-codon, and T loops). The record is from RNAcentral. Lineage: Bacteria; Pseudomonadati; Candidatus Zixiibacteriota.